This 1643-nucleotide long non-coding RNA is filed under the name Gadus morhua (Atlantic cod). RNAcentral describes it as "lncRNA (ENSGMOG00000033008.1)". Lineage: Eukaryota; Metazoa; Chordata; Actinopteri; Gadiformes; Gadidae. The record is from RNAcentral.
CUCGAUUACUUCACAGCGAAUUGCGGUGCCGGAGGCGAGAGCGUGAAACAGCAGCAGGGUCCACGUGGAAAUUUGCAGGAUAUUCGGCUCAACAGACCGAUUCUAGCAGACCAGACUAAUGUGCUGACAAGCGGUAGUUUUGUACCUAUCGAGGCCAAUGUCAUUCAGCGCCCCUCCGGAACAAAUCGACUGGCCAAGAAGAAGAAUUUGAAAAGAUCGGCGGGAAUAGGCGGGGCUAUACCCUGCUCACCGCAGGCCAUAGAACAGCUACAAAUUCCUUAUAAAAAGGCCCGCAAGGACGCCACCCACGGCGGUCUAGCUCCGGAGAAUUUUACCCAUGUUAUUCAGGCCGUUAUAAAUCCGCAAAUCGCGCCACAUGGAGCGGCAUGGACUGAUUCCAACCACCAAGUGAUUGCGGACGUGGAGGUGCGUGUGUCGGCGGCGCCUACAGAGACAGUCGCCGUGCAACCGGAUGGGACUAUACAACACGUCUAUGGAGAUCCCCAGUGUGCGCCACCAGCAGGGCUGACCGUCAAUGAUUGGCCUGGUCUUGACGACAUCCUGGACGCGUCCUGGAAUUCAUCGCUGCUGGAACAUAGCGACUUCACUCCAGCUCUGUGGGUCGACUCUCCAGCUACAUCCGUAGAGGCUACCACCAGUGCAGAGCCUGUACAACACCACCAGCCUGCAGGCCCUGCAUCUGGAUCCCUACACGCCAUUCAAGCCCCUAUCUGCGACUCUCCGUGUAUCGUGAGUCCCAUCGCUCAUGAGGUAGCGGUGCUGCGGCUACCAGCCGGUCCCGCAAUUGCUGAUGGUGAAUACUGGGCUGUGCCGCAAGAUGCUAAAUGGCGUAAAGAAUUUGCUGAUAAAUUAGCCGUGUUAACUGCAACGGUGGCUGUAAACUCCUCAGCCAUUGAUCGUCAGAUUAAACGUGGUGACAGUAGAUAUCAGGCUCUCGAAGAGCAGACGAAGCAGUCCUUCAGCGCUAUCAGGCUCGAAAAUGCGCGUGAUCGGAUGAUUGCUAAAUCCCCAAACACUGAAACCAGUAAUGGACGUGCAAUUGUGGACCUUCAACGUAAGCAUUUUGCGGCCGCGGUAGCUGUGCGAGGCAACACGCAGGGCAUAGCGAAAAUUAGCUCAGUAGAGGCGUUAAGAGCUUCUAAAACCGCUCGAAAAUUAUGGUUAAUGGAAUCUACUUGCAAAGCUAACCUGGAUGCCUAUAGGGCAUUGUGUACCGAGAUGUCUGUGAUGAGUGACACAGUAGCAAAGCUCUCGUUGAAUACUAUUAUUUGAUUUGUGUUUUUGUUUUUUCUUUUAUCUUGUGGAGAGGGUAUUUUUUUUUGUUUUAAACUGCAUGUAAUAAAACUUUUUUUUCAUUUAAUACCUGACUAAUUAACGUUUUUUUUUUUUUUAAAUAUAAUUUUUAUAUAUAUAUAUAUAUAUUUUAUUUUAUUUUCUAUCGGCAUUAAAAAAAAAAAAAACUAGCCGUACACCAUGCAUAACGCCAUUAGCCCUAGAAAAAGGAAAUUCAAAUCUAUAGACGGUAAUCCCAAGAGACGGCGUAGAUCUGAUAGUGGGGGUAGCAUUAUGGAUUUAGAACUUGAAGAGAUGACAAUGCGGUAUGACGCAACCGGCGAUACGUC